CUACGGGAUGCUGCAGUGAGGAAUAUUGCACAAUGGGGGGAACCCUGAUGCAGCAACGCCGCGUGGAGGAUGACGCAUUUCGGUGUGUAAACUCCUUUUAUAUGUUAAGAAAAUGACGGUAGCAUAUGAAUAAGCACCGGCUAACUCCGUGCCAGCAGCCGCGGUAAUACGGAGGGUGCAAGCGUUACUCGGAAUCACUGGGCGUAAAGGACGCGUAGGCGGGUUGGAAAGUCAGGUGUGAAAUCCUACAGCUUAACUGUAGAACUGCACUUGAAACUUCUAAUCUAGAGUAUGGGAGGGGGAGAUGGAAUUAGUGGUGUAGGGGUAAAAUCCGUAGAUAUCACUAGGAAUACCUAAAGCGAAGGCGAUCCCCUGGAACAUUACUGACGCUAAGGCGUGAAAGCGUGGGGAGCAAACAGGAUUAGAUACCCCUGUAGUC
RNAcentral lists this ribosomal RNA (439 nucleotides) under uncultured bacterium. Its description in RNAcentral is "partial 16S ribosomal RNA". It matches the Rfam family "Bacterial small subunit ribosomal RNA", at positions 339 to 795 of the family's 1533-position model. The record is from RNAcentral.